Molecule: ribosomal RNA, 445 nt
Filed under: uncultured bacterium
Lineage: Bacteria
Description: bacterial SSU rRNA
Rfam family: Bacterial small subunit ribosomal RNA
Source: RNAcentral
GUGAGGAAUAUUGGUCAAUGGACGGAAGUCUGAACCAGCCAUGCCGCGUGCAGGAAUAAGGUCCUAUGGAUUGUAAACUGCUUUUAUUCGGGAAUAAACCUCUUUACGUGUAGGGAGCUGAAGGUACCGAAGGAAUAAGCACCGGCUAACUCCGUGCCAGCAGCCGCGGUAAUACGGAGGGUGCAAGCGUUAUCCGGAAUCAUUGGGUUUAGAGGGUCCGCAGGCGGGCUAUCAAGUCAGAGGUGAAAUCCCACAGCUUAACUGUGGAACUGCCUUUUAAACUGUUGGUCUUGAAUUAAGUAGGCGUUGGCGGAAUAUGACAUGUAGCGGUGAAAUGCAUAGAUAUGUCAUGGAACACCGAAAGCGAAGGCAGCUAACGAUACUUAUAUUGACGCUCAUGGACGAAAGCGUGGGUAGCGAACAGGAUUAGAAACCCCAGUAGUCC